UUUGCUAUUAUAUCACAGGAUUAUAUAAGUUCAUAAUACGGUUGAACGUUUCUACUAACUGCCUCAAAUAGUUUGCUAUAAUCUCUUUAUUAGUGUAA
Molecule: non-coding RNA, 98 nt
Filed under: Eubacterium sp.
Lineage: Bacteria; Bacillati; Bacillota; Clostridia; Eubacteriales; Eubacteriaceae
Description: Guanine sequence
Rfam family: Purine riboswitch aptamer
About the family: Riboswitches are metabolite binding domains within certain messenger RNAs that serve as precision sensors for their corresponding targets. Allosteric rearrangement of mRNA structure is mediated by ligand binding, and this results in modulation of gene expression.
Source: RNAcentral